This 589-nucleotide ribosomal RNA is filed under the name uncultured Rhizoscyphus. RNAcentral describes it as "eukaryotic LSU rRNA". The stretch from base 231 to 384 matches the Rfam family "5.8S ribosomal RNA". The record is from RNAcentral. Lineage: Eukaryota; Fungi; Ascomycota; Leotiomycetes; Helotiales; Helotiaceae.
CUUGGUCAUUUAGAGGAAGUAAAAGUCGUAACAAGGUUUCCGUAGGUGAACCUGCGGAAGGAUCAUUAAAGAAUGCCCCGUUUUUUGAAAUGGGUUCUAUUCCCAAACCGUGUAUACAUACCUUUGUUGCUUUGGCAGGCCGCCUUCGGGCGUCGGCUCACGCUGACCGCGCCUGCCAGAGGACCCAAACUCGUUUGUUUAGUGAUGUCUGAGUACUAUAUAAUAGUUAAAACUUUCAACAACGGAUCUCUUGGUUCUGGCAUCGAUGAAGAACGCAGCGAAAUGCGAUAAGUAAUGUGAAUUGCAGAAUUCAGUGAAUCAUCGAAUCUUUGAACGCACAUUGCGCCCCUUGGUAUUCCGAGGGGCAUGCCUGUUCGAGCGUCAUUAUGACCACUCAAGCCUAGCUUGGUAUUGGGGUUCGCGGUCUCGCGGCCCUUAAAAUCAGUGGCGGUGCCAUCUGGCUCUAAGCGUAGUAAUUUAUCUCGCUAUUGGGUCCGGUGGUUGCUUGCCAACAACCUCCAAUUUCUAAGGUUGACCUCGGAUCAGGUAGGGAUACCCGCUGAACUUAAGCAUAUCAAUAAGCGGAGGA